Lolium perenne is the source of this 1323-nucleotide non-coding RNA. NCBI's taxonomy places the organism in Eukaryota, Viridiplantae, Streptophyta, Magnoliopsida, Poales, Poaceae. The record is from RefSeq and is a predicted model, not a curated record.
GCUGGUGGUGGUGACGUGGGGCAUGAAUGCAAUGUACUUGGUGGACCUGUGGUCAAGGACCCCUGCAGCUGCUAGGUCUUGGGUCCGCUCGAUGAAUAACAAUGAGAGAUCUUCCUCCACUAGCAAGUGAGAAUCGGAUUUGAAGAGGAGAGGCACAAAAGGAAAUUGAAAUGGGAAGAAGAUAGUCGAUCUGAGGUAGGAGGAAGAGGAAAUCCACGGUGGUGCGGUGCAUCUCCGGCCGACGCUUGCAACCGGAGAAUCACAUCCACGAAGUCAUCCUCCAAGACGGUCUCCAAGCAAUGGCAACAUACACAGCAAAAUUUGUCCGAGAGAUGCGCGAGGUCGAGGCGAGGCAUUGCUCAUUCACGGUGCGCUUGCUGCCAGAGAAAGGCGCGUGGGGGCUAUGGUGCCACAAGCAUGUUUCGACCAUGUUCUUCAAUCAUGAGGGAACGAUUAAUUAGAUUUCAUAUUUAUUCAUUUCCUAACAAGAGCACUUUCUGUUUUUUUUCCAUAUUGAAACUGUUUUUUACAUUCUUCUCGUGUUAGGUUGCCCAGCCAACCGUUUCUUCAUAUGGUUAGACAAUUAUAUGACAGUCAGAGAAACUAAGAUUUAACUCCAUCUUGUUAGGACUGGGACUGCUGACGGUUGGGACCGCAUUCACAUGAGAACCUCCUAUUUCCAUUCAAAAUUGUGUUGAGAUUGGGAUUGGGAUUGGGUAAUUUGUGAAUGCUUUACUUUUGGCAAUUCUACCGCUCUGUACUGAAGACUAUUUGGAUUUUGAUGUAUCCCAGCAAUACUCCUCGCUGCCCUCCUCUCAGUUAUUCAGCUUUGGCAUGAGUAAGAGGGGACAAGAUUGUGAUUCGCAUAUGUAUAUCCGAUAGAAGUAGCUGGUCUCACUGCUCAUAUGUUGUGAUCAUGGGCGAACUCUACAGAGAAAAUAUCCAACACAUUGAACGGGCAGUUGCUACACUGACGGAAGGACUCUUUAUAAGCAGAAAAGGAAUGGAAGGGUAAUUUUUGUACCAACGGAACGGCGUGCCGGCGCUUCCACAAGAUGCAGUUGGGGCAGCUGGUGUGGCUGAUGUCUCCUUUUAUCUUUAUGUGUAGUCUGAAGUGGUACACUGAAGUAUGUUGCCAUUCAGUUUUAUUCUCAUGUAGGCUCCUCUGAAAAUAAAUUUGAAUUGAAAAUAAGAUGUUUCAAAGUUUCUUUUGAAUAGUUUGUACACUAAAAGCACGUUCACGUGUUUCUCAUAUACACUUAGUGAUGAUUUACAUUAACUGAACUAUUUGCUUUGUACCACAUGUUUACUUUGUAAUGAAAC